This 1091-nucleotide long non-coding RNA is filed under the name Mus musculus (house mouse). RNAcentral's name for it is "long non-coding RNA chr2:67679722-67680813". Lineage: Eukaryota; Metazoa; Chordata; Mammalia; Rodentia; Muridae. The record is from RNAcentral.
CUCUAUAGCCCGGAACCUCCCUGCUUACCUAAUCUCUAGAAGAGGCUUCCAGAUGCACCUAGAGGUUAUAUGUUACUGUCUUCUUGGGUCACUCCAAUACAGCUGUGUUGGUAAUGAAGAUAAACUACCACCCAGCUUAUGCAGAGCAGAAAUUGAUUUCUUCCUCCUACAACAAAACAGUUCAGUAGCUGAUGGACGAUGUCAUUUGCCAAUUUAAUAUUGAUACAUGUGCUUCUGGACUAAGAUGAGAAAUGUGUGUCUCAUUCUGUCUGAUCAGAAAUGUUACAGGCCAUGAAUCUAAUCUAUAGUCCUUUUGGGGGAAAAAAAAGUCUGUUAUGUUAUUUUUAGAAUAGCAGUGUAUUUCUCUGUCCUAGGUCUCCCCAGGACUUUCUUCGUCUAGCUCUCUCUGUGGCACACAUCCAGUAAGCAGUGCUUCUCAGGAGGUUCAAAGGGCACUCAAGCAAAGACUGAGACUUGUAUAUUUGCAAAACUAAUGGGCUCUAUUUCUUUAAAUCAGAAAGAAUCCUGGUAGCUAAGUAUUAUUUUUAUACUGAUUUCUCAAUCUAAAAUAUAAUUUCAAACUCUUUUGUUGCAGCUGGGAUGUAGCUUAUCCUAUCCAGGUCUUAUCACUAACAAGACAAAUUAUUUGAUUUUUUUAAAAAAUCCUACUUUUAUGUGUAUUGUCUUUUGUUGCACUGUAAACACAGAGUACUUUAAAUUAGAAAUUAGAAACAUACAUCGAAAAAUAGAAAAUAACAUUUUCAUUAUGAUGGAUGGAACCUAAUCAGGCAAAGCUGAUAGUUAUUUAUGUGUGUUUUAAUUGGUCAGCAUUACAUGAGCUUAAUUCCCUUCAUUAGGUGUUCGGAUGUAAAUCAGUGGUAGACUGAUUGCUUGGCAUAGUUAAAGAAUUAGGUUCAAUCCACAGCAUCAAAAUGACAAAAGAGGAGGAGGGAAAGAAGGAGAAGGAUGUGGCAUGAAGACAGAAGAUAAAAAUACUUUCACUAACCUAAGAGAUUAUUUAAAUUUGGCUCAAGAAAUUAAAUUUUAAUAAUAUCCCAUGGCUUAAAUGAAACUCACAACAUUGGCAAACC